UACGUAGGUGGCAAGCGUUGUCCGGAUUUACUGGGUGUAAAGGGCGUGUAGGCGGGGAUGCAAGUCAGAUGUGAAAUUCAGAAGCUCAACUUCGGCGCUGCAUCUGAAACUGUAUCUCUUGAGUGCUGGAGAGGAAAGCGGAAUUCCUAGUGUAGCGGUGAAAUGCGUAGAUAUUAGGAGGAACACCAGUGGCGAAGGCGGCCUGCUGGGCUUUAACUGACGCUGAGGCUCGAAAGCAUGGGGAGCAAACAGGA
Molecule: ribosomal RNA, 254 nt
Filed under: uncultured prokaryote
Description: partial 16S ribosomal RNA
Rfam family: Bacterial small subunit ribosomal RNA
Source: RNAcentral